Molecule: ribosomal RNA, 476 nt
Filed under: uncultured bacterium
Lineage: Bacteria
Description: partial 16S ribosomal RNA
Rfam family: Bacterial small subunit ribosomal RNA
Source: RNAcentral
GAUGAACGCUGGCGGCGUGCUUAACACAUGCAAGUCGAACGGGAAUUAUUUUAUUGAAACUUCGGUCGAUUUAAUUUAAUUCUAGUGGCGGACGGGUGAGUAACGCGUGGGUAACCUGCCUUAUACAGGGGGAUAACAGUCAGAAAUGGCUGCUAAUACCGCAUAAGCGCACAGAGCUGCAUGGCUCAGUGUGAAAAACUCCGGUGGUAUAAGAUGGACCCGCGUUGGAUUAGCUGGUUGGUGGGGUAACGGCCCACCAAGGCGACGAUCCAUAGCCGGCCUGAGAGGGUGAACGGCCACAUUGGGACUGAGACACGGCCCAGACUCCUACGGGAGGCAGCAGUGGGGAAUAUUGCACAAUGGGAAACCCUGAUGCAGCGACGCCGCGUGAAGGAAGAAGUAUCUCGGUAUGUAAACUUCUAUCAGCAGGGAAGAUAGUGACGGUACCUGACUAAGAAGCCCCGGCUAACUACGUG